UGGGGAAUAUUGGACAAUGGGCGCAAGCCUGAUCCAGCCAUGCCGCGUGAGUGAUGAAGGCCCUAGGGUUGUAAAGCUCUUUCACCGGUGAAGAUAAUGACGGUAACCGGAGAAGAAGCCCCGGCUAACUUCGUGCCAGCAGCCGCGGUAAUACGAAGGGGGCUAGCGUUGUUCGGAUUUACUGGGCGUAAAGCGCACGUAGGCGGACUAUUAAGUCAGGGGUGAAAUCCCGGGGCUCAACCCCGGAACUGCCUUUGAUACUGGUAGUCGUGAGUUCGAGAGAGGUGAGUGGAAUUCCGAGUGUAGAGGUGAAAUUCGUAGAUAUUCGGAGGAACACCAGUGGCGAAGGCGGCUCACUGGCUCGAUACUGACGCUGAGGUGCGAAAGCGUGGGGAGCAAACAGG
RNAcentral lists this ribosomal RNA (404 nucleotides) under Actinomycetes bacterium. RNAcentral's name for it is "Actinobacteria bacterium partial 16S ribosomal RNA". It matches the Rfam family "Bacterial small subunit ribosomal RNA", at positions 355 to 776 of the family's 1533-position model. Lineage: Bacteria; Bacillati; Actinomycetota; Actinomycetes. The record is from RNAcentral.